AACCCAUAGUGAGGGCUCCUUCUCAAUAAAUCCUUAUACAUCUCCCACGCAUCAUAUAACGUUUCUAAAUCAAUCUGCACAAAGGAAGAGAUGUCGUUACUCAACUU
Gossypium raimondii (Peruvian cotton) is the source of this 107-nucleotide non-coding RNA. The record is from Rfam. Lineage: Eukaryota; Viridiplantae; Streptophyta; Magnoliopsida; Malvales; Malvaceae.